GACGAACGCUGGCGGCGUGCUUAACACAUGCCAGUCGAACGGAAAGGCCCUGCUUUUGUGGGGUGCUCGAGUGGCGAACGGGUGAGUAACACGUGAGUAACCUGCCCUUGACUUUGGGAUAACUUCAGGAAACUGGGGCUAAUACCGGAUAGGAGCUCCUGCUGCAUGGUGGGGGUUGGAAAGUUUCGGCGGUUGGGGAUGGACUCGCGGCUUAUCAGCUUGUUGGUGGGGUAGUGGCUUACCAAGGCUUUGACGGGUAGCCGGCCUGAGAGGGUGACCGGCAACAUGGGGACUGAGAUACGGCCCAGACUCCAACGGGAGGCAGCAGUGGGGAAAAUUGCACAAGGGGCGGAAGCCUGAUGCAGCAACGCCGCGUGCGGGAGGACGGCCUUCGGGUGGUAAACCGCUUUCGCCUGGAACGAAGCGUGAGUGACGGUAAUGGGUAAAGAAGCACCGGCUAACUACGU
Molecule: ribosomal RNA, 467 nt
Filed under: uncultured bacterium
Lineage: Bacteria
Description: partial 16S ribosomal RNA
Rfam family: Bacterial small subunit ribosomal RNA
Source: RNAcentral